GUUAUACCGCGGUUCGAGGCUCCCGGUGCGGGGCUAAGACGGGAGGCGGGUGGCGUGUCCGUGAGGGCCCGCAGUCCGGCGCCGCCUCUGCAACUGUAAGGGGAGCGGCGGCUUCAUCUCGUGCCGCAAGCAUGCCUGGCAGGCCCGGACCGUUUUGUUGAUCCGUGACCAGGAGACCUGCCUUCGCCGCAACCGCGCU
This 199-nucleotide non-coding RNA is filed under the name Sphingomonas sp. Lineage: Bacteria; Pseudomonadati; Pseudomonadota; Alphaproteobacteria; Sphingomonadales; Sphingomonadaceae. The record is from RNAcentral.